UACGUAGGGUGCAAGCGUUAUCCGGAUUUAUUGGGCGUAAAGGGCUCGUAGGCGGUUCGUCGCGUCCGGUGUGAAAGUCCAUCGCUUAACGGUGGAUCCGCGCCGGGUACGGGCGGGCUUGAGUGUGGUAGGGGAGACUGGAAUUCCCGGUGUAACGGUGGAAUGUGUAGAUAUCGGGAAGAACACCAAUGGCGAAGGCAGGUCUCUGGGCCGUUACUGACGCUGAGGAGCGAAAGCGUGGGGAGCGAACAGG
RNAcentral lists this ribosomal RNA (253 nucleotides) under uncultured bacterium. RNAcentral describes it as "partial 16S ribosomal RNA". It matches the Rfam family "Bacterial small subunit ribosomal RNA", at positions 524 to 776 of the family's 1533-position model. The record is from RNAcentral.